GGAGGAUUAACACAGUGGCUCAACACCGGGAAGGAACUGGCUCUUGGAGUCCGGACAUCUGAAACUUGAUCUAGAGAACACAUGCAAAUUUGUUACAUGGGAAUAUUGUGUAGUGCUGAGGUCUGGAGUAUGGAUUCCAUCACCCAGGACUGUGAAUGCAACCCAUGAAAAAGAGGGUUUUCGGAAGCUUGACAUUUAUGAGGGUGAGGAAUUAACAAGCCAACAUCAGUCUCCAGAGUGAAUCCAAGGAGAGGACCCAAGACAUUCAUGUUCUGUGAUGUGGUGACAUGUUACCUGUCAUCUCUGAUGCACAACUCCUAAAGUGUUUGCAUCUGGGGCAGUUGUACAGAUUGCAGAAGCUAAUACUCAAGAUGUUCUCCAAGGCCAACUACUCAUCAGUUUAUUCAUGUUUCUGGGAUUGGAUUCAUGAACUCAUCCUUUGAACUAUUUCAACAAGCUUUUUCAUGUAACUAAUCUGCGGAAGGUAGAAAGGGUAAAACUGUUGGGUGCUAAAAUGACAACUGGUUCAAGGAGGAGCAUCAGAUAAUUAGGCAGCAGUCCAACAAUUAGGUUUUGUGGAACUUUUACUAUGUCAUCUAUUUAUUGGAAUUCCCCCUGGAUACCAGGACCCCCUCCAGCAGAGCUUAAAGUUAUAGUGACAGGAAGUACAAAUUCCGUAUGUGGAUCCCUGGAAGUGUGAUGAGAGGAACCACUGUUUCCAAGAUCUAUUUAUUCUAUUUAUUAGGCCUAUAAAAUCAUGUAAUGACCAUGGCUUCAACUAGACUCU
This 787-nucleotide long non-coding RNA is filed under the name Pongo abelii (Sumatran orangutan). Its description in RNAcentral is "lincRNA". The record is from RNAcentral. Lineage: Eukaryota; Metazoa; Chordata; Mammalia; Primates; Hominidae.